Phrynosoma platyrhinos (Desert horned lizard) is the source of this 70-nucleotide non-coding RNA. The record is from the annotation of a GenBank genome assembly. NCBI's taxonomy places the organism in Eukaryota, Metazoa, Chordata, Lepidosauria, Squamata, Phrynosomatidae.
GCCAGAGUGGCAUAGUGGUUUGAACGUUGGACCAUGACUCGAGUCCAGGGUUCGAUUCCCUGCUCGAGCA